UGCGAAGCUUUCUUUCUGAGAAAUCCGCACUUUUGUAGCGUCAUGCUAAUUCUGGUGGAUGAAAAUUUUCCCCUUUCAUGACUGAAACAGACAUAACGGCGAAAGUAUAGCAUUAGGUGAACACUAGAAAUUUAUUAGUUCCUGCCAAAUGAAAGAAAUCUCUUCUCGCGAACUCCAACAACACUUUUUUUUUUCUCUCGGUCGCCUUAUACAAAAUUUGUAGCCAGCACACUAUUACACGAGAUUUUCUUUUGUUGUUAUUGCUAUUGUUUAAACGUCGGCGUCGCCAGCGGAGCGAUGCCUUACAGACGGGAUGUACAUGGAAGCUCACUAAAUAGCAGUCUUCGUUUAAACAAGGUUCUUCACUGCACUCGGAAACAGCCAUUUCUGGACAUAUUGUA
RNAcentral lists this long non-coding RNA (401 nucleotides) under Dermacentor andersoni. Its description in RNAcentral is "uncharacterized LOC126543809". The record is from RNAcentral. Lineage: Eukaryota; Metazoa; Arthropoda; Arachnida; Ixodida; Ixodidae.